RNAcentral lists this ribosomal RNA (492 nucleotides) under uncultured bacterium. Its description in RNAcentral is "partial 16S ribosomal RNA". It matches the Rfam family "Bacterial small subunit ribosomal RNA", at positions 29 to 507 of the family's 1533-position model. The record is from RNAcentral.
AGUGAACGCUGGCGGUAGGCCUAACACAUGCAAGUCGAACGGCAGCACAGUAAGAGCUUGCUCUUACGGGUGGCGAGUGGCGGACGGGUGAGGAAUACAUCGGAAUCUACUUUUUCGUGGGGGAUAACGUAGGGAAACUUACGCUAAUACCGCAUACGACCUACGGGUGAAAGCAGGGGAUCUUCGGACCUUGCGCGAUUGAAUGAGCCGAUGUCGGAUUAGCUAGUUGGCGGGGUAAAGGCCCACCAAGGCGACGAUCCGUAGCUGGUCUGAGAGGAUGAUCAGCCACACUGGAACUGAGACACGGUCCAGACUCCUACGGGAGGCAGCAGUGGGGAAUAUUGGACAAUGGGCGCAAGCCUGAUCCAGCCAUACCGCGUGGGUGAAGAAGGCCUUCGGGUUGUAAAGCCCUUUUGUUAGGAAAGAAAAGCAGCAGGUUAAUACCCCGCUGUGCUGACGGUACCCAAAGAAUAAGCACCGGCUAACUUCGUG